This 64-nucleotide transfer RNA is filed under the name Wadicosa fidelis. RNAcentral describes it as "tRNA-Gln". Lineage: Eukaryota; Metazoa; Arthropoda; Arachnida; Araneae; Lycosidae. The record is from RNAcentral.
UCUAUUAAAGUGUCGAUGCACAUAAAAAUUUGAUUUUUAUAGAGAUAUACUAUAUCUAAUAGAA